Non-coding RNA from Macaca mulatta (Rhesus monkey), 1916 nucleotides. The record is from RefSeq and is a predicted model, not a curated record. NCBI's taxonomy places the organism in Eukaryota, Metazoa, Chordata, Mammalia, Primates, Cercopithecidae.
CCCUCCCAGCCGGGGACUGAAUUGGAGACUGGACGGGGCGCGCAGCCCGAGCGCAGGGAAGCCCGAGCCACUGAAGGACUUGGGCUCCUGGAACCUCACCCCGUCUUGAAGUUGGCAUCCUCAGAUCCCUGCUAGAUGACCAUAUUCCUUCCCAAAGAUAGUUCUCAAAUGGGCCUUUGUUGGUAAAGACACUCCACACAUGGGUACGGCCUUUGUUGGUAAAGACACUCCACACAUGGGUACAGCCUCGAUAAAAUAUUUUACCCCGCAGAGAAAGUAUCUCCAAACAUAAUGUAGUAAGAGAUUUCCCAAAUCCAAGGGCAUUAAAUAUUAAAACUCAGUUUUCUAGUUACACAUUAGCCUUAAAUAUCAAGAAUGUAACACAAAAUUAUCACAGAACGCAGGAAAAGGAGAUGAGAAAGGCCGCAGAUGGGCAGCUAGGUGGGUCAGGGCACAGGGCAGGGUCCGAAAGGGUCCCCAGCACAGGAGCAUCUGUCCCCGUGGAGUGGGGGGCACCACCCUCCUGGCACGUGGAUGUGUGCAGCAACCCGGCACUGCUGCGGACCAGUAGUCCAGGCAUUCUUAUGGAGGCUCCAUCAGAUCAUGGUGGAUGAUGCCUGGAGGAGGGUGGGUGCAGGGUUGAGAGCUGCAGGUGCUAAUCCUGGCUGGUCUCUCUGGUGACCGGCCCCCCUCCAGGAGCCACCAAGCCUCACCUCAUUUGAACAAAAGAAUCUGCUGCCAUCACCCAGGAAAUUCCGAGGGUUUUUGGAGCCCUGUGCUGGGUCUUGGGAGCAGAGACUGGAUCUAUUCAUUUCACAUUUUGUUGCCCCAUCUUGCCAGGUAGAGACGGUGUCUGUGUCUGGGUUCCCAGGCUGGACCCCAGAUGCCUGCUGUAUAUGUGCCCGCUGGCGUUGCCAUCACGGGGCACUCUCUCAGGCGUCUUAAACAGCAGGACAGGAGGCGGGAAGGCCAAGAUGAAGGUGCGGCCGGAGCUGGUUCCUCAGAAGGCACCCCGCGUGGCCGUGAAAGCCAGGAAGAUGGUUGAAUUGUUGUUUAAAACAUCUCGGAAUAUAUACAUGAGCAGAACAGAAGUUAAAGACAGAGUUUCUUCCAGCACAAGCGAGGCCAGCACCUUUCCCGAUGGGACAGCCCCGAACGUGGAGCAUGCCAGCAGCCCGGCAGCCAAGUUCCGGCAGUUUCCAGGACAAUGCCAGAGGGUGGUGUGCACACGCCCCUGAAAAGACGGAAAGGAGAAUAUCCACCGUCAUCCCCAACAGCCCAGCACUCAGCACCCCAGGCUGUCAUCCCCAACAGCCCUACACCCAGCACUCAGGAUCCCAGCACCCCAGCAUCUCAGCAUCCCAGCAUCCCAGCAUCCCAGCCUCCAUGUAUCCCAGCACGCCAGCAUCCCACCACCCCCGGCACCCCCAGCAUCCCAAGAUCCCAGGAACCCAGCAUUGCUGCAUCCCAGCACCUAACCUGGGGUCCCACAUUUUUAUCUGAUGAAUCUGCAGCUCUUAAUUAAUGCUUCUACCUGCCUGCCCUCUGCCCUCUGCAGACACUGUGCACAGGUGAUGUGUACGUGUAUAUUCUUUUUUGGUUCACAGAAAUGGCAGUUGCAUCAUACCCUGUUUAGCAUCAUGGUUUCCAGCUAGCUAACCAUCCAUUCACUCGAAGAUAUUUUUGGGUCUUCCUGUGUCAUUAGAGCAGAGCCUCGUUCUGAACUCUGGGUCCAGCAGGCCCCACUGCGGAGGUUGCUGCAGUUCACGGUGUGCUUGGACAGUGGCAGCACUCUCUUCUCUGAGACCUCGCUCUUCAACGUUUUGUAAGACUGUAUUUGCAUGUUUAUUUUGAUGUAAAUGCUGAAACAUCUGGUCUAGUUUAAAAAAUAAACACAAAACACAGCCAAAAGCACA